This 497-nucleotide ribosomal RNA is filed under the name uncultured bacterium. Its description in RNAcentral is "partial 16S ribosomal RNA". It matches the Rfam family "Bacterial small subunit ribosomal RNA", at positions 28 to 507 of the family's 1533-position model. The record is from RNAcentral.
GAUGAACGCUGGCGGCGUGCCUAAUACAUGCAAGUCGAGCGAACAGACGAGGAGCUUGCUCCUCUGACGUUAGCGGCGGACGGGUGAGUAACACGUGGAUAACCUACCUAUAAGACUGGGAUAACUUCGGGAAACCGGAGCUAAUACCGGAUAAUAUAUUGAACCGCAUGGUUCAAUAGUGAAAGACGGUUUUGCUGUCACUUAUAGAUGGAUCCGCGCCGCAUUAGCUAGUUGGUAAGGUAACGGCUUACCAAGGCAACGAUGCGUAGCCGACCUGAGAGGGGGAUCGGCCACACUGGAACUGAGACACGGUCAAGACUCCUACGGGAGGCAGCAGUAGGGAAUCUUCCGCAAUGGGCGAAAGCUUGACGGAGCAACGCCGCGUGAGUGAUGAAGGUCUUCGGAUCGUAAAACUCUGUUAUUAGGGAAGAACAAAUGUGUAAGUAACUAUGCACGUCUUGACGGUACCUAAUCAGAAAGCCACGGCUAACUACGUG